UACGUAGGUCCCGAGCGUUGUCCGGAUUUAUUGGGCGUAAAGCGAGCGCAGGUGGUUUAUUAAGUCUGGUGUAAAAGGCAGUGGCUCAACCAUUGUAUGCAUUGGAAACUGGUAGACUUGAGUGCAGGAGAGGAGAGUGGAAUUCCAUGUGUAGCGGUGAAAUGCGUAGAUAUAUGGAGGAACACCGGUGGCGAAAGCGGCUCUCUGGCCUGUAACUGACACUGAAGCACGAAAGCGUGGGUAUCGAACAGG
RNAcentral lists this ribosomal RNA (252 nucleotides) under uncultured bacterium. RNAcentral's name for it is "partial 16S ribosomal RNA". It matches the Rfam family "Bacterial small subunit ribosomal RNA", at positions 524 to 776 of the family's 1533-position model. The record is from RNAcentral.